Rhododendron vialii is the source of this 204-nucleotide small nuclear RNA. RefSeq annotates it as U2 spliceosomal RNA. NCBI's taxonomy places the organism in Eukaryota, Viridiplantae, Streptophyta, Magnoliopsida, Ericales, Ericaceae. The transcript has a single exon. The record is from RefSeq and is a predicted model, not a curated record.
AUAACUUUCUCGGCCUUCUGGCUAAGAUCAAGUGUAGUAUCUGUUCUUAUUAGUUUAAUAUCCGAUAUGUGGGCCGCCGGCUCACUCUUUAUUUAAUUAAUAAUUUUUUGAGGGUGAGGGUCUUUUACAGUAGCUCGCUACUGGCUGGGGCCUAUCAUGCGUUGCCUUGGUAUCGCACUAUUGCCUUGGCUUGGCGGACCUCAC